CGGUGCUUUGAUGGUCUCCUCCAAUAGGAAUCAGUGUCUCGUCUCCGCCAAUAAGGAUCCGUGUCUGAGGAUCGGUGUCCUCAAAUGAAAUUUUAUUUGUCACAUGCUUCGUAAACAACAGGUGUAGACUAACAGUUAAAUGGUUACUUACGGGCCCUUCACAACAACAGGUGUAGACUAACAGUUAAAUGGUUACUUACGGGCCCUUCACAACAACAGGUGUAGACUAACAGUUAAAUGGUUACUUACGGGCCCUUCACAACAACAGGUGUAGACUAACAGUUAAAUGGUUACUUACGGGCCCUUCACAACAACAGGUGUAGACUAACAGUUAAAUGGUUACUUACGGGCCCUUCACAACAACAGGUGUAGACUAACAGUUAAAUGGUUACUUACGGGCCCUUCACAACAACAGGUGUAGACUAACAGUUAAAUGGUUACUUACGGGCCCUUCACAACAACAGGUGUAGACUAACAGUUAAAUGGUUACUUACGGGCCCUUCACAACAACAGGUGUAGACUAACAGUUAAAUGGUUACUUACGGGCCCUUCACAACAACAGGUGUAGACUAACAGUUAAAUGGUUACUUACGGGCCCUUCACAACAACAGGUGUAGACUAACAGUUAAAUGGUUACUUACGGGCCCUUCACAACAACAGGUGUAGACUAACAGUUAAAUGGUUACUUACGGGCCCUUCACAACAACAGGUGUAGACUAACAGUUAAAUGGUUACUUACGGGCCCUUCCCAA
Oncorhynchus keta (chum salmon) is the source of this 752-nucleotide long non-coding RNA. RefSeq lists it as uncharacterized. The record is from RefSeq and is a predicted model, not a curated record. NCBI's taxonomy places the organism in Eukaryota, Metazoa, Chordata, Actinopteri, Salmoniformes, Salmonidae. The transcript is spliced from 4 exons.